GCUGAAAGAGGUCUACAGUUAGUUCCCAGACCCAUACCCUAUGGCAAAUUAUUAAGUCGUCUCGGCCGGGUAUUUUGGCCCUGCCCAGAGAAGAGUCUGGAAUCUAGUCUACAUCGACGUCAUCAGAUCAAACGUGAGCACAAAACUUCAGAGAAGCGAAAUAACCUUUCAGUCCGCGACAAUUGAUGUGCAAUUUCCGCUACAGGUUCUCAAGGGUGACGUCAUUGAAAGGGCCGUCCAUAGUGGGGUAGGGCUCCAGGUGUCAAUUACAAGCCUACGCUUUUCGGCCGGGUCUUAUAAAUAGGCACAGCGAGAGUUAUCGAGACAGAUCUGCCCGCGUCAGAGGCACAACAAGCGGAGGACGGAGUUCAGCACAAGGCGCUUUUGGAGAAGAGAGAAAGCUCGUCGGGUGACUCGUCUGAACAAGCAUAUUCCACGUUGUGGGCGGUUCCAAUCUCUGCAACUCCACAAUGCAACUCCCCGGCGCCACGCUACGGCACGCCACCCUCGUGCUGGUUGCUCUGUGCAUCGCUGUCACGAUUGCGCAUGUCCGAGGAGACGAUGGGGACACGGCUGCAUUGUUCAACAGAGUUGCGAGGGAUGACAAGUCAACGAAUGCCAAAUUGAAACACAUCAUUCCGCUGCGGUUUGGUAAGAAAUGGGCAAGCUUCGACGAUACAGCAGCCAUGCUUCGGUCGUCGCACGGCGGCAAGCCUACAUUAACGGAAGACAACGCUGCAGAGAGAGGGCCGGCCCACAGUCAUCGUGUCCAAACUAAAGCUCUACCACUGAUUCAGCUCCUUCAGUAUGCUGUCCAGCUCAUGGAAGAGGUCAUACAAGGGUUGGAAAUGGAACAACAAGGAGACAUUCCAUGAAAUAGAGCGGACUGUCUAAAAGACGUCUCUGUUCUGCGAUAAACCAAACGGGCGUGACUCGUCUCUUUACACAUAAGAAAUGUUUCUAGCUACUGUAGAAAAGAAUUCUAGAUCGCACUCUUUGAAUAAAAACAACUUUUCCGCUGCGUAUACAGAGCAUAGCUGGUGACAACAAGACGGGCCGUGCAAAAUUUGACGACUACAUGCAAAUGCCUGGACAUCUUGAUCUGCCUCCCUUACAUGGAAAUGCCAAUUAAUAUCAACCAUUGUUCUGAGAACGUAUUAAGUAAUAAAGUCUACUUAGAUAGAAACGGUUUGUAGAUUCUGUACAUGGUUGGAAUAAGAAUAUGAACGGAAAAAGGAUGUUCUGGUUCAGAUUUUAGCUGUAAAUCAUCUUCGUAAAAUUUCAAAGCAGGUUGUUGACUGUGUACAUGGUUGGAAUAAAAAUAUAACGGAAAAAUGUCAGAAAUGUUCAGUUUCCAGUUGCAACUCAUUUUCGUACAAUUGAAAUGGCCAUCUGAAACUUUUAAUUCUUUAAGUUGUACAUCAGUAUAACUGCCGAUCCAACCGCCCACCCUGAGUCAGUUUAUGUCGUUGAGACCGCUGAUGUUACUGAUCUGAUGACGUGUAGGCGACCUCUUGAAAGAACCCCGUCAUUUGAACGACAGUGCGCUGACAUUGAUCAAUGGUAAUGCCAAGCAAGAUUAAGUAAAGUUUAAGGUCCACCUGACUGAAGAACGGUUCGGAUCUUUCAAGCUUGUGGUUAGUGCGUUGGGGUCGUGAGCUGGUGGCCCGGGUUCGAGGAGACUGUACUACUCACCCUUUGUGUUUCAAUCCCCACCACAGCUUUAAUCUAUCAUCACAGUCUCAGAUAUCAUGAAAUCCAUAAAUAUAACACAGCUAGUUUAAACAUGAGAUCAGCGAGAUGUAAUUGUGCGAUUCAUUUACCAUAUGUCAGGUAAUUGUAAUCAAAUCCGCAAAGACCGUGCAGGCUAUCGGGAGUUGAACAAAGCUCACAUGGACUACUACCUGGUCUGCGAAUGCAUCAGAAGGGUUGUUCAAAGAAGUAAACAUUGAAAGGAUAAAUUGGUAAAUAGUGGAGAUAAUCAGAAAGUUCUUUUCCAAGGGUGUAGAAUCAACAAAAGGAUACUGUCUCUCUCUCUCUCCAUGUACGUCCAUCUUGUGGAUAAAGCCGAUCGAUAUGGGGAGAAAUAAAAACGCCAAGCAAGUCUUAAAAAUGUUGUCUUCAUUCUCGAACAAAAUUUUGUCAAUCAUUUUCAGCAUUAGGCCUGGGAUGUUUGCAUGCCCAGGUCUAUCAUAUCCGACAUUUAGGCGGUCAUAGUAAGUGACAGAAAGUCCUAAAGUGAUCUUACUGACAAUGUAUAGAUUUUUUUGCAUCAAUCAAGAUAUCUAAAUUUAAUUAUACAUGGAUAACAAACUUACAAUACUCCCGUUUCUCUCAUGCCCGGUAUAAUCAUGUUUGUGAUCAGGCCAAGAAUAUCAGGUGAAAACCUAAAUUCGUUUUAGGCUCUUGUGUGGGAUAUAACUUUCAAAAACAGAGAUAUGGGAGCCGGUAUUCAUUUGGGAAGAUAUCUUAAUGGAAUACCUAACGUGGAUCACUUAAAUAAUCCUAUUUGUCUGUAAUGUAUACUUAAUAUCCCCUGCAUUCAAAACAAAAUUAAUGGAUGAUCUGCACAAUGUCGCGAUACCUGCACAAACUGCAGAAACAGGUCUGAUGGACAACAGGUCUGAUGGACAACAGAUCUGAUGAACAGGUCUGAUGGACUACAGGUCUGAUGGACUAAUCUCUAACCAGAUCCACAGUGUAUGAUAAUGUAUAGUAUCAAACUUCCGUUUGACUCCCUUAGCCGGCUACACUCCUUGGCCAGCUUUGAUACUAUCUUAUGAUACCGUAGGAUCUGCUUGGAGAUUAUGAUGGACAACAUAAUAGUACUGUCAAGAAAAUGAUUUGUAUUUGGUCGUGUGCUUGGGCUACAAACUACACUGUAUUUAUAUAAUUAGCUUCAAAAUACAAGGUAUUUCAGCAAUGAUACAAUAUUUCACAAAAGUAAAUAAUUCUUUCUUCUUCCAUAUUCAACAUCUCAAUAGGAUAGGAGGUUCCAUGUUGCAAGGUCCUUUUCUAGAACUGUAUCAUUUUGGAACAAGCUUCCUCAGGACAGCUUAUCUGAUGGGUAACAUGUUAUACCCUUCAACUAUUAAAACUAGGGUGAAUUGAUAUCUGUCAUCAUGAUCCAGUUAAUGUAACUCCAAACAUCUGAAUUGCUGAAGAACCAUGUUUGGGGGUAAUCUGAAGUAAA
This is a long non-coding RNA of Branchiostoma floridae (Florida lancelet), 3193 nucleotides long. RefSeq lists it as uncharacterized. NCBI's taxonomy places the organism in Eukaryota, Metazoa, Chordata, Leptocardii, Amphioxiformes, Branchiostomatidae. The transcript has 2 exons. The record is from RefSeq and is a predicted model, not a curated record.